This 498-nucleotide ribosomal RNA is filed under the name uncultured bacterium. RNAcentral describes it as "bacterial SSU rRNA". It matches the Rfam family "Bacterial small subunit ribosomal RNA", at positions 66 to 543 of the family's 1533-position model. The record is from RNAcentral.
ACGCGAAAGUCCCCUUCGGGGGACAAGUAGAGUGGCGCACGGGUGAGUAACACGUAGGUAAUCUACCUUCGGAUGGGGAAUAACAACCGGAAACGGUUGCUAAUACCGCAUAAUGCAGCGGCACCUAAUGGUGACAGUUGUUAAAGCGGGGGAUCGAAAGACCUCGCGUCUGAAGAGGAGCCUGCGGCGGAUUAGCUAGUUGGUAGGGUAACGGCCUACCAAGGCGACGAUCCGUAGCCGGCCUGAGAGGGCGGUCGGCCACACUGACACUGACAUACGGGUCAGACUCCUACGGGAGGCAGCAGUCGGGAAUUUUGGGCAAUGGGCGAAAGCCUGACCCAGCAACGCCGCGUGAAGGAUGAAAUCCCUCGGGAUGUAAACUUCGCAAGAACGGGAAGAAUAAGUAGGGGACAAUACCCCCUAUGAUGAUGGUACCGUUUGUAAGCUCCGGCUAACUCCGUGCCAGCAGCCGCGGUAAUACGGGGGGAGCAAGCGUUG